RNAcentral lists this ribosomal RNA (313 nucleotides) under Rhizophagus prolifer. Lineage: Eukaryota; Fungi; Glomeromycota; Glomeromycetes; Glomerales; Glomeraceae. The record is from RNAcentral.
CAGUCGCGUUCUCUGGGAUUCAGCCUUGCUUUUGCUUGGUGCAUUUCCUAGUCUACGGGCCAGCAUGGAUUUCGAUCGGUGGAAAAGGGUUGGGGGAAUGUGGCACCUCCGGGUGUGUUAUAGCCUUUGGUAGAUGUGACGAUUGGGAUUGAGGAUUGCAACGGAUACCCCCUCGGGGUUACCCGUCUGAUCUCUGAAGGUUACUCCGGUGCUGAAAGCGUGCUUAUGGUUAUCGGAAGUGAUUUUCAAAAGGUUAGAACGGGUUAAAUUCGUUAAGGAUGUUGACGUAAUGGCUUUAAACGACCCGUCUUGA